GAUGAACGCUGGCGGCGUGCCUAAUACAUGCAAGUCGAGCGAACGGACGAGAAGCUUGUUUCUCUGAUGUUAGCGGCGGACGGGUGAGUAACACGUGGAUAACCUACCUAUAAGACUGGGAUAACUUCGGGAAACCGGAGCUAAUACCGGAUAAUAUUUUGAACCGCAUGGUUCAAAAGUGAAAGACGGUCUUGCUGUCACUUAUAGAUGGAUCCGCGCUUCAUUAGCUAGUUGGUAAGGUAACGGCUUACCAAGGCAACGAUGCAUAGCCGACCUGAGAGGGUGAUCGGCCACACUGGAACUGAGGCACGGUCCAGACUCCUACGGGAGGCAGCAGUAGGGAAUCUUCCGCAAAGGGCGAAGGCCUGACGGAGCAACGCCGCGUGAGUGAUGAAGGUCUUCGGAUCGUAAAACUCUGUUAUUAGGGAAGAACAUAUGUGUAAGUAACUGUGAACAUCUUGACGGUACCUAAUCAGAAAGCCACGGCUAACUACGUG
RNAcentral lists this ribosomal RNA (497 nucleotides) under uncultured bacterium. RNAcentral's name for it is "partial 16S ribosomal RNA". It matches the Rfam family "Bacterial small subunit ribosomal RNA", at positions 28 to 507 of the family's 1533-position model. The record is from RNAcentral.